RNAcentral lists this small RNA (3804 nucleotides) under Pongo abelii (Sumatran orangutan). RNAcentral describes it as "retained intron". Lineage: Eukaryota; Metazoa; Chordata; Mammalia; Primates; Hominidae. The record is from RNAcentral.
AACUGGAGCAAUCAGGGCACCGCAGCGAGGGAGAUGCUGGCGAGACGACAGCGAGAUCCUCUCCAGGCCCUGCGGCGCCGCAAUCAGGAGCUGAAGCAACAGGUUGAUAGUUUGCUUUCUGAGAGUCAACUGAAAGAAGCUCUAGAACCCAAUAAAAGACAAGAUAUUUAUCAAAGAUGUAUCCAGUUAAAGCAGGCAAUAGAUGAAAAUAAAAAUGCUCUUCAAAAAUUAAGCAAAGCGGAUGAAUCUGCACCUGUUGCAAACUACAAUCAGAGAAAAGAAGAGGAGCAUACUCUUUUGGACAAGCUUACCCAACAACUGCAGGGCCUUGCUGUGACAAUAAGCAGAGAAAAUAUAACUGAAGUUGGGGCACCUACUGAAGAAGAGGAAGAAAGUGAAAGUGAAGAUAGUGAAGACAGUGGUGAGGAGGAAGAAGAUGCAGAGGAGGAAGAGGAAGAGAAAGAGGAAAAUGAAUCUCACAAACAGUCAACCAGUGAAGAAUACAUCGCUGUUGGAGAUUUUACUGCUCAGCAAGUUGGAGAUCUUACAUUUAAGAAAGGGGAAAUUCUCCUUGUAAUUGAAAAAAAACCUGAUGGUUGGUGGAUAGCUAAGGAUGCCAAAGGAAAUGAAGGUCUUGUUCCCAGAACCUACCUAGAGCCUUAUAGUGAAGAAGAAGAAGGCCAAGAAUCAAGUGAAGAGGGCAGUGAAGAAGAUGUAGAGGUGGUAGAUGAAACAGCAGAUGGAGCAGAAGUUAAGCAAAGAACUGAUUCCCACUGGAGUGCUGUUCAAAAAGCGAUCUCAGAGGUGGGUAUCUUCUGUCUUAUUAAUGAUGUCUUGUUUUGUUACCUAAUAGCUCUGAUGCGAAACAGGAUGGAGACUGUGGAAGAUAGCAGUGGAUCUGAAACAGGGUUCAGGGCAUGGAAUGUACAGAGCAGAGGAUGUAUAUUUCUGGUUUCUAAGCCUGUGCUCCAAGUAACAUUUCUCAUUAGUUUUUUUUUUGUACAAAAAGAAUAGAUAAUCUUAUUCAUGGUGUCACUUGAGGGCUUGGAAACAUUCUCAUUGAUCCUGCUUUCCUAUCAUUUGAGUGGAAACAGAUGUUAAAUUUUAAUUACUAUUCGAAAAAUCCUGAAAGGCUUUAAUAAAAAGUAAGAAAUCGGCCAGGCGUAGUGACUCAUACUGGUAAUCCCAACAUUUUGGGAAGCUGAAGCAGGAGGAUCACUUGAGGCCAGGAAUUCAAGACCAGCUUAAGCAACACAGUGAGACCCUAUCCUACAAAAAAUAAGAAAAAUUAGCCAGGUUUGAUGGCUCAUGCCUGUAGUCCCAGCUACUCGGGAGGCUGAGGUGGGAAGAUUGCAUGAGCUUGGGAAGUCAAGGCUGUAGUGAGCUCUGAUUGUGCCACUGCACUCCAGAGCAUGAGUGACAGGGCAAGACUGUGUCUUAAAAAAAAAAAAAAGUAAUUAAUUAAAUUUUUUUAAAGGAAGAAAUGAUCCAUAAUUCUGUCAUUAAAAAAAAAUUACAGGCCAGGCACAGUGGCUCACACCUGUAAUCCCAGCACUUGGGAGGCCAAGGCAGGUGGAUCACCUGGGGUCAAGAGUUCAAGACUAGCCUGGUCAACACAGCAAAACCUCACCUCGACUAAAAAUACAAAAAUUAACUGGGCAUGUCUGUAGUCCCAGCUCCUGGGGAGGCUGAGGCAGGAGAAUUGCUUGAACCUAGGAGGCGGAGGUUGCAGUGAGCUGAGAAUACGCCACUGUACUCCAGCCUGGGCGACAGAGCUAGACUCCGUCUCACAAAACAAAAAAACUAUUACAUAGCCAAAUGAAAAUUCUCCUCCUCAAACUCAUAAGUAAUCACCAUUAACAAUUUAGUAAGUAUCCUUCCUGACCUUUUUAUUUAUUUAUUACUUAUAAGUACAUGCUUGUAUGUGUGAGGGUGUGUGUCUAUGAGUUGUGUGUAUGUGUAUACAAAAAAAAUCCAUUAAUUCUUCAGUGCAUAUGAUUUGCCAAUAGACAUUAACUUACCUGUGAAAUGGAAGCGCAGGGUGGAGCAGGACAGGAGCAGGGACAUUUUGAUAAGGGUGUACUUGAAGCAGCUGCUCCGGAACACACAGUUCUGCGCGCUGGGCACUGUAUGGGGCUUAGGUCCUUAGGGGAGGCCAGGGUGCUGUGAUGGCAUCCUCUCAGGAAUUUGGGGCCAAAUCGUAUUAUUCUUCCACUAAAGUCUGUAUGUUUAUGUUUUUCUUUUUUGGGUUAUAGUUACUCUAGUGAUAAAGAGAAAGUAUUAUAGAGUUGCAGAAACAUGACUGAAAACAAAUCCAUUUUGAUGUUACUGUCUUCAGCAGAUAAACACUGUUGAUGUGUUAACCACGAUGGGAGCUAUUCCUGCAGGGUUCAGGCCUUCCACACUCUCACAGCUUCUGGAGGAAGGGAAUCAAUUUCGAGCAAGUUACUUCUUACAGCCAGAGCUCAUGCCUUCACAACUGGCCUUCAGAGAUCUGAUGUGGGAUGCUACAGAAGGCACUAUUAGGUCGAGACCAAGUCGUAUUUCAUUGAUUCUGACAUUAUGGAGCUGUAAAAUGAUUCCUCUUCCAGGAAUGAGCAUACAGGUUCUCAGCAGACAUGUACGCCUCUGUCUAUUUGAUGGUAAUAAGGUUCUGAGCAACAUUCAUACAGUCAGAGCCACAUGGCAAUCUAAAAAGCCCAAAACAUGGACCUUUUCUCCCCAGGUUACUCGCAUCUUGCCAUGUUUGUUUGAUGGUGAUUGCUUUAUCAGGUCUAAUUCUGCGUCUCCAGAUCUUGGAAUAUUAUUUGAACUUGGAAUUUCUUAUAUUCGCAAUUCAACUGGUGAAAGAGGAGAGUUAAGCUGUGGCUGGGUGUUUCUUAAACUUUUUGAUGCCAGUGGAGUUCCUAUUCCAGCAAAAACUUAUGAGCUUUUCUUGAAUGGUGGUACUCCUUAUGAAAAAGGUAUUGAAGUGGACCCUUCAAUAUCCAGAAGAGCACACGGCAGUGUUUUCUACCAGAUGAUGACAAUGAGAAGGCAGCCUCAACUUCUAGUAAAACUGAGAUCCUUGAACAGAAGAUCAAGAAAUGUACUAAGUCUACUGCCAGAAACUUUAAUUGGAAGUAUGUGUUCUAUUCACUUGUUGAUAUUUUAUCGACAAAUUCUUGGAGAUGUGCUCCUGAAAGACAGGAUGAGCUUGCAAAGUACUGAUUUAAUUAGCCAUCCCAUGCUGGCCACCUUCCCCAUGCUCUUGGAGCAGCCUGAUGUGAUGGAUGCCCUCAGGAGUUCAUGGGCUGAAAAAGAAAGUACAUUAAAAAGAUCAGAGAAGAGAGACAAAGAGUUCCUGAAGUCCACGUUCCUCCUGGUUUACCAUGACUGCGUGCUCCCACUUCUCCACUCCACACGCCUACCCCCAUUCAGGUGGGCAGAAGAAGAGACUGAGACUGCACGAUGGAAAGUUAUCACUGACUUCCUUAAGCAAAACCAAGAAAACCAGGGCGCCCUCCAAGCUCUGCUGUCACCAGACGGAGUUCAUGAACCUUUUGACCUUUCAGAGCAGACCUAUGACUUCUUGGGUGAAAUGAGAAAGAAUGCAGUGUGACAGUGGCAGCCUCUAGCCCUCAGCUUCCCACGGAAUCAGAUGGAUCCUCCACGAUUACGUGAAUAAAAUGAUGGAACCAAAAAUCACUGUCACUUUACAACUUAGGUUUUAUUAUUUUCUUUCUACAGACCAUAUUUUUAAAGAAAUGUUUAUACAAUAAUUUAAAUAUUUUUUAAAACCACAAAAUAAAUUUUUGUAAGGAA